This 1195-nucleotide long non-coding RNA is filed under the name Oryzias sinensis (Chinese medaka). RNAcentral describes it as "lncRNA (ENSOSIG00000005992.1)". The record is from RNAcentral. Lineage: Eukaryota; Metazoa; Chordata; Actinopteri; Beloniformes; Adrianichthyidae.
CUUCUUUGUUGUUAUAUAGUUUUGCUCAAGUAUGAAAUACUGGUUGUCUCAGUUUUUUCAUCUAUCUUUUUCUUUUUUUCUCCGUUCAAGAGUCAGACAUUUCUAUUAUUCACGUCCCCGAUGAGGCUACAUGAUCCCAUUAGCAUCAACCCCUGGCAGAUCACAAGGCAGCAGCGACAGACAGCCUGUCUGUGAGCAACCCUGCACAGCAAACACACUAAGCCUCCAUUAAAGCUCGUUUAUUGCAGUUUAAUGCUGCGCUUUAAUGCCAUCAUGACACUGUUUUAAAUCGCUAAUCCAGCAGCAACAACAGAGUACCUGUCAGUGUGGAGCCACUUUAUAUUUAAACCAGUUGGCUAUCUUUAAAUUGAUGUUUAAAAUGAACUAAACUUUCCUUUUUUGUGAGUUGAAUGCUCAAACUGACCUGUGACAAGUUUUGGGUAAUGAGUAAACAUAUUAAUGCUUUAGUUUUCAACUGGAACUUUAACUCCUAUGUUUAAUUAUGCAAACACUGCAGCCGCUCCCUGUUCUUAACUCACCAAAGCUCACCGGCCUAUUCAUCCGUCCUCUUAUGUUUUUAAAAGCAGUCCUAGGCUGCAUGACUCACUUGAUUGGGGAAUGAGACAAAAAAAAAUUCCUGGCUCAUUUGACGCACCUGUGAGCUCGCAAAGUCGCACGUCACAUGUUGGAGCCUUAUUUAGACCACAGACAAAGGCGUGGAUGAAACCCGAGCUUGCCAGCCUCCUCUCUGUUGCCAUGACGACAGCUGCCAUCUCCAGUCCCCCUCUGUGUGAAGAGGCUCAGAGGACUUGUGGUAGAAGACUCCGCCCACAUGAGGGGGGGGGGGUAUUCACACAUCAAACCUGGCUACACAAAAGUGAUAUUUGGAAACUGUUUAGAGAGCCGAAGGAAUCAGAGGCCGGUCUUGAGUCAAAUGAUUCUCUUCCAUCUCUGCCCUGUGCGGCCUAUUUACAGCCCACAGCUGAGGGCGACGCAGGGCGUGUUGCUAUCGCUGGCAGGUGCAGGAGCAGGUUGAGCAGGUUUUUCUCUGAAUGCCACGCUGUUGGGCCCUCCUCCCUGCCUCUCUCUCCAGGACGGCUGGUGAUUCACUCUUACAAAGUGGCAGGUGAGCGAAAAGAUUUGGUUGCCCGGGCACCUGUUCUCAUCCGAUACAGCCGAAGAAUAAGUAUUUUCU